GGCGCACGGGUUGAGUAACGCGUUGGGUAACCUACCCCCCGGCGGGGGAUAACUACUCGAAAGGGUGGCUAAUACCGCAUGAGACCACGGGGUCCUCGGAUCCCGAGGCCAAAGGUCGCUUCGGCUUGCCGGAGCGGUCACCGGAGGAUGGGCCCGCGUCCGAUUAGCUAGUUGGUGAGGUAACGGCUCACCAAGGCUGCGAUCGGUAGCUGGUCUGAGAGGAUGAUCAGCCACACUGGAACUGGAACACGGUCCAGACUCCUACGGGAGGCAGCAGUGAGGAAUAUUGCGCAAUGGGGGAAACCCUGACGCA
RNAcentral lists this ribosomal RNA (313 nucleotides) under uncultured Pseudomonadota bacterium. RNAcentral's name for it is "bacterial SSU rRNA". It matches the Rfam family "Bacterial small subunit ribosomal RNA", at positions 97 to 390 of the family's 1533-position model. The record is from RNAcentral. Lineage: Bacteria; Pseudomonadati; Pseudomonadota.